GUGUCAGCCGCCGCGGUAAAACGUAGGGGGCGAGCGUUGCCCGGAUUCACUGGGCGUAAAGCGGGUGUAGGCGGUUCCUUAAGUCGGAUGUGAAAUCCUACGGCUCAACCGUGGAACUGCAUCCGAUACUGGGGAACUUGAGGACGGUAGAGGUCGGUGGAAUUCCAGGUGUACCGGUGAAAUGGGCAGAUAUCUGGAGGAACACCAGUGGCGAAGGCGGCCGACUGGGCCGAUCCUGACGCUGAGACCCGAAAGCCAGGGUAGCGAACCGGAUUAGAAACCCCGGUAGUCC
RNAcentral lists this ribosomal RNA (292 nucleotides) under uncultured bacterium. RNAcentral's name for it is "partial 16S ribosomal RNA". It matches the Rfam family "Bacterial small subunit ribosomal RNA", at positions 505 to 796 of the family's 1533-position model. The record is from RNAcentral.